GUGGUUAAGUCCCGCAACCGAGCGCAACCCUCGACCUUAGUUGCCAGCAUUCAGUUGGGCACUCUAAGGUGACUGCCGGCUAAAAGUCGGAGGAAGGUGGGGAUGACGUCAAAUCAUCAUGCCCCUUAUGACCUGGGCUACACACGUGCUACAAUGGGCGGUACAAAGGGUCGCGAACCCGCGAGGGGGAGCCAAUCCCAAAAAGCCGCUCUCAGUUCGGAUUGCAGGCUGCAACUCGCCUGCAUGAAGCCGGAAUCGCUAGUAAUCGCGGAUCAGCAUGCCGCGGUGAAUACGUUCCCGGGCCUU
RNAcentral lists this ribosomal RNA (306 nucleotides) under uncultured Anoxybacillus sp. Its description in RNAcentral is "bacterial SSU rRNA". It matches the Rfam family "Bacterial small subunit ribosomal RNA", at positions 1074 to 1382 of the family's 1533-position model. Lineage: Bacteria; Bacillati; Bacillota; Bacilli; Caryophanales; Anoxybacillaceae. The record is from RNAcentral.